UACGGAGGGUGCAAGCGUUGCUCGGAAUUAUUGGGCGUAAAGGGUAGGUAGGUGGUCUCAUUUGUCUGGGGUGAAAGCCUUGAGCUUAACUCAAGAAGUGCCUCGGAAACGGUGAGACUGGAGUCCUGGAGAGGGUCGUGGAAUUCCCGGUGUAGCGGUGAAAUGCGUAGAGAUCGGGAGGAACACCAGAGGCGAAAGCGGCGACCUGGACAGGUACUGACACUCAACUACGAAAGCGUGGGGAGCAAACAGG
This 253-nucleotide ribosomal RNA is filed under the name uncultured bacterium. RNAcentral describes it as "partial 16S ribosomal RNA". It matches the Rfam family "Bacterial small subunit ribosomal RNA", at positions 524 to 776 of the family's 1533-position model. The record is from RNAcentral.